This 1230-nucleotide long non-coding RNA is filed under the name Olea europaea (common olive). RNAcentral's name for it is "long non-coding RNA (OEUR_LNC000120)". Lineage: Eukaryota; Viridiplantae; Streptophyta; Magnoliopsida; Lamiales; Oleaceae. The record is from RNAcentral.
CCACGAACUGAAAUUGACGGUGGGUUUCCUUCAAUUGCAGCAGCCAGGUGACAAUACUUCCAGUCUCCUAAGACCCAGACAGUUUUCAAGGACGCGCGCACCACCGAGAAAGCCGCCGAAUAAUCCCAGUCGCCCGUCCGGUUAGCGACGUCCUCCACACCCGAAAGGCCGCCGACCACAUGGAUCCCGCCCGCACACCGGUAGGUCGUUGAACACGAACUUCUCUGAUUCCGUCUACUUGUUCGUAAAACAACAACUUACGGACAUUACAGGGAGUUCAAAUAGUUUCUAGUUAAUUUGUUAAACUGUAAUUAUAUGUAGUAAUCAACUUCGUUUGAUGUUUUGGACUAUGCUUUUGGGCAAAAUUGAUAUUGUGGCAGUUCGAGAUGCACCUGCCUCUGGGUUCGUAUCUCAACUGCCAUAUGCAAUGCGCUACCAUUUUUUUCGAAGUAGGAUUAAAUUGUUUCUACUGCAUUUGUUAAUCUGUAAUUAUACGUAGUUAUCAACUUCGUUGGAUGUUUUGGAGUAUGGUUUUGGUCAAAAUUGAUAUUGUGGCUGUUCGAAAAUUUCCUGCCUCUGGGUCCGCAUCUCAACUGCCUUAUGCAUCGCGCCACCAUUUAUUUCGAAGUAGGAGUCAAUUGUUUGUAGUGUAUUUGUUAACCUGUAAUUAUAUGUAGUUAUCAAAUUCAUUGGAUGUUUUGGCGUAUGAUUUUGGGUAAAAUUGAUAUUGUGGCAGUUUGAAAUGCACUUGCCUCUGGGUUCUCAUCUCUUGCGCUACCCGUUUUUCCAAAGUAUUUGUUUGGCCGUAUACUCUUCUACGAAAUCUGUCCCUUGACCUAUAAUAUCAUAAACUGAGACUAGAAUGUUUUAUGCAAUUUCUGGAACAUAGUCUUCGUUAAACCCCUGCGCUUGUGCUCUCUGCAUUCCCCCUUAAAAUGAUAGCAUCGUUCAUUCGUCUGUUUCCAAAUUGAACUUCUGCACAAUAUCUUUUACGUGUACGUUCUUGUCAAGUUCAAAUUUUUAAUCUGUAGCUAUUUUACAGACUUCAAAUGCGUAUAAUAAAUAUUAACAUAAUUUUUUUUUUGCGUGAUAGCCGACUUGUCUUUGCAGUGUGGACAUGGCCCGCCACCCAGCUCGUUCGUUGCACAGGAGUUGGGUCAAGCCUCAGGUGCAAAAUCUUAUGCUCGGUGGAAUGCCUUGGAGACCCAAACAUUCAUUGCAGCCUGCGAG